AGAGUUUGAUCCUGGCUCAGAUUGAACGCUGGCGGCAGGCUUAACACAUGCAAGUCGAGCGGAGAGAAGUAGCUUGCUACUGAUCUUAGCGGCGGACGGGUGAGUAAUACUUAGGAAUCUGGCUAUUAGUGGGGGACAACAUUUCGAAAGGGAUGCUAAUACCGCAUACGUCCUACGGGAGAAAGCAGGGGAUCAGUAAUGACCUUGCGCUAAUAGAUGAGCCUAAGUCGGAUUAGCUAGUUGGUGGGGUAAAGGCCUACCAAGGCGACGAUCUGUAGCGGGUCUGAGAGGAUGAUCCGCCACACUGGGACUGAGACACGGCCCAGACUCCUACGGGAGGCAGCAGUGGGGAAUAUUGGACAAUGGGGGGAACCCUGAUCCAGCCAUGCCGCGUGUGUGAAGAAGGCCUUAUGGUUGUAAAGCACUUUAAGCGAGGAGGAGGGUACUGGUAUUAAUACUACCAGCUACUGGACGUUACUCGCAGAAUAAGCACCGGCUAACUCUGUGCCAGCAGCCGCGGUAAUACAGAGGGUGCGAGCGUUAAUCGGAUUUACUGGGCGUAAAGCGUGCGUAGGCGGCUAAUUGAGUCGGAUGUGAAAUCCCCGAGCUUAACUUGGGAAUUGCAUUCGAUACUGGUUAGCUAGAGUGUGGGAGAGGAUGGUAGAAUUCCAGGUGUAGCGGUGAAAUGCGUAGAGAUCUGGAGGAAUACCGAUGGCGAAGGCAGCCAUCUGGCCUAACACUGACGCUGAGGUACGAAAGCAUGGGGAGCAAACAGGAUUAGAUACCCUGGUAGUCCAUGCCGUAAACGAUGUCUACUAGCCGUUGGUCUCUUUGAGGGAUUAGUGGCGCAGCUAACGCGAAUAAGUGACCGCCUGGGGAGUUACGGC
Molecule: ribosomal RNA, 887 nt
Filed under: uncultured bacterium
Lineage: Bacteria
Description: bacterial SSU rRNA
Rfam family: Bacterial small subunit ribosomal RNA
Source: RNAcentral